GGAAUCAACAGCGCAAACCGGGACCGCACCUGGAGAACCGAGGCGCGCUGCACUCACCGCUGUUAUCGCUCAGUUCAGCUGAAUUCAUGUUAUUAUUGUGAGUGAGAGGAGGAUGAUGAUGGAGUUCCGCUUCCUCGUGCUGUGUAUCACCGUGCUGCUGCAGUCGGUACCGGAGAGAGCGCGAGCUUCACCUGAUGAGCUGUUGGUGAUCACCGCGGCGACAGAGGAGACAGACGGUUUUAAGAGGUUCAUGAGAACAGCGCGUCAGUUUAACUACAUGGUGAAGGUGGGUCUUUAUUUCUGUUCAUGGUACCUGGUGGAGGUGAUGUGUGUUAUACAGUGUGUAGGUGCUUGGUCUGGGUGAAGAAUGGAGAGGAGGUGAUGUAGCUAAGACUGUUGGUGGAGGACAGAAGGUUCACUGGUUAAAGAAGGAAAUGCAAAAACACAAAGAUAAAUCCAACACGGUCGUCAUGUUCGUGGACAGGUUUUUCAAGGUGGAAGGGCUCCAAUCUUGAAUGAUAAGUCAGAAGAAUGUCAACCGACCUGUUCACAUCUUGUUCAAUCGAUUCAGGUUCCUCGUCUCGUGGAUCUGUGGGUCGUGUGCUGCCCACCUUGGCCACGAACGGAUCUUCUGCUCCAGGUCUGACUCGGAUCAUGUCCUGCUGAAAUAAAUAAAUAAAAGG
RNA transcript from Trichomycterus rosablanca, 683 nucleotides. It is a transcript of the gene named multifunctional procollagen lysine hydroxylase and glycosyltransferase LH3-like, with no coding region annotated. Lineage: Eukaryota; Metazoa; Chordata; Actinopteri; Siluriformes; Trichomycteridae. The record is from RefSeq and is a predicted model, not a curated record. The transcript has 4 exons.